CCCUAAUGGCUCCUGUGACACUCAUCAAAUGCUUGCAGUCCAUUAAAGAAUAUGCUUUUGUUAAAUCUCCAUACCCUGUUAUCGUAACUUUGGAGGGCCACCUUACAGCAGACCUUCAAGCUCAGGUUGCAGAGAUGGUCAUUGAAACGUUUGGAGAACUAUUAUACUACCUUGCAUCAAGGUGCUUGGAAGAAUUCCCUUCACCAGAAGCCCUAAAGCAUCGAAUUAUUGUUUCAACCAAACCACCAAAAGAAUAUCUUGAACUGAGGGUCCAACAGAGAAGGAUUCAUCUACUGAAGUAGCAUCGGGAAAGGAGUCACCAGACCUUGCAGCUAAGCUGGAUCCUGAUGACAGGGUGAGCUCAGAAAUAAAUUUAUUUCAUCAGCUUAUAAUCUAGAAAUGAAAUUUACUUCAUUCUGUUAUAACUUCUAAGGUGCUCAAUUACUUUAACAUGUUAAAAUUUUGUCAUGGUUAACAAGACAACACCGAUCAGGAUGAUGAAGGCAGUGAUGGCUGUGAGCAGAAAUCAUGCCAGCUAGGAGCACGUCAAUACAAGCAUCUGAUUGCAAUUCACACUGGGAAACCAAAGAAUGGAUUGAAAGAGGCUUUGAGGGCUGGAAUUGGAAAAAUUAAACGUCUUAGUUUGAGUGAAACAACACUUCAAAAGGCAGCAGAAUCUUAUGGAAUUGACCUUGUGAGGUUCACACAAAAGAAUAUUCUGAGGGUAUACCCAAAGGGGACCUGAGUCACCUCCUCAAAUUUCAAUCCACUUACUGAAUGGAAGCAUGGAGCUCAGAUGGUUGCAUUUAAUCUGCAGGUUAGUUUUGAAGUCUUGUGUCUUCAUAAAAUCAUGUUAUUCAUGUUUUUUUGGUGAGCUUUCGUAAUAUUUUCUCUAUUUCUUAAUGUUGUGUGGUUUGAUUAGUUAUUGAUGUAGAAUGAAAGUUCAGUUCAGACAUGGCUUAAAUAUGUGGAGUGGGAAAAUAUUACUUUUUAGGAUUGAUUUCUAGUUUUUUAUUCUAUUUUUGCUAUUGACAUCUAUGUAAAGCUUGUAUUAUACACUAUGGUCUCUGGAUAGCUUGGAAUUUUUCUAAUUCUAUCUUUUUCAUUUUGUUAGUUCA
This is a non-coding RNA of Camellia sinensis, 1118 nucleotides long. The record is from RefSeq and is a predicted model, not a curated record. NCBI's taxonomy places the organism in Eukaryota, Viridiplantae, Streptophyta, Magnoliopsida, Ericales, Theaceae.